This 367-nucleotide ribosomal RNA is filed under the name uncultured bacterium. Its description in RNAcentral is "bacterial SSU rRNA". It matches the Rfam family "Bacterial small subunit ribosomal RNA", at positions 527 to 896 of the family's 1533-position model. The record is from RNAcentral.
GUAGGGGGCAAGCGUUAUCCGGAAUUACUGGGUGUAAAGGGUGAGCAGGCGGUUAAGCAAGCCAUAUGUGAAAGUCUAAGGCUUAACCUUAGGAAUGCAUAAGGAACUGUGUAACUAGAGUGCAGGAGAGGCAAGUGGAAUUCCUAGUGUAGCGGUGAAAUGCGUAGAUAUUAGGAGGAACACCAGUGGCGAAGGCGACUUGCUGGACUGUAACUGACGCUGAGUCACGAAAGCGUGGGGAGCAAACGGGAUUAGAUACCCUGGUAGUCCACGCUGUAAACGAUGAGUGCUAGGUGUUGGUCAGGAAUGAUCGGUGCCGUAGCUAGCGCAAUAAGCACUCCACCUGGGGAGUACGACCGCAAGGUUG